GGACUCCCACUGAGAAAGAUUUAGCAAAUCACUCAUAGCGAGUCUUGGACAACACAGGGUAACCGGUGUUGUUAAGCGUAGACAGCAAGCUAGUAGGCCGAAAGCGAAAGUUGAAGGGAUUGAGCCUCGGAAUCCCAAUCGGGAAGGUUGAUACUUUGAACCGAGUAGAAAACAACACUACUUUAGUCGUUAUGCGAGAAUAUAGUAGCUUCCCCGGGGUCAGUGACCA
This is a non-coding RNA of Bacillus sp. 1NLA3E, 229 nucleotides long. NCBI's taxonomy places the organism in Bacteria, Bacillati, Bacillota, Bacilli, Caryophanales, Bacillaceae. The record is from Rfam.